CCUUUGGAUUCUAUUACUAGAGAAACGUAUCUUUCCAGGCCGUUGCGCCGAGGCUCUGGAAUGAUCUCCCUUUGUCUCUUCAUUCACUGGACUCUGUUGAUGUUUUUAAGAGAAAACUUAAAACCCAUGUGUUUCUCCAGGCAUUCAAUUCGUAGUAGUGAGAGGGCUG
Thalassophryne amazonica is the source of this 169-nucleotide long non-coding RNA. RefSeq lists it as uncharacterized. The record is from RefSeq and is a predicted model, not a curated record. The transcript has 4 exons. NCBI's taxonomy places the organism in Eukaryota, Metazoa, Chordata, Actinopteri, Batrachoidiformes, Batrachoididae.